RNAcentral lists this transfer RNA (76 nucleotides) under Candidatus Undinarchaeales archaeon. RNAcentral's name for it is "tRNA-Asp". It matches the Rfam family "tRNA". Rfam says of the family: Transfer RNA (tRNA) molecules are approximately 80 nucleotides in length. Their secondary structure includes four short double-helical elements and three loops (D, anti-codon, and T loops). The record is from RNAcentral. Lineage: Archaea; Nanobdellati; Candidatus Undinarchaeota; Candidatus Undinarchaeia; Candidatus Undinarchaeales.
GCCUUGGUAGUGUAGCGGUCUAUCAUACGGCCCUGUCGAGGCCGUGACCCGGGUUCAAAUCCCGACCAAGGCGCCA